CGGGUGAGUAACACGUAGGUGACCUGCCUCAGAGUGGGGGAUAACGACCCGAAAGGGUCGCUAAUACCGCAUAACAUCCUGCUUUUAGACAAGUGGAGAUCAAAGCCGGGGAUCGCAAGACCUGGCGCUCAGAGAGGGGCCUGCGGCCGAUUAGCUAGUUGGUAGGGUAACGGCCUACCAAGGCAACGAUCGGUAUCCGGCCUGAGAGGGCGGACGGACACACUGGGACUGAGACACGGCCCAGACUCCUACGGGAGGCAGCAGUGGGGAAUUGUUCGCAAUGGGCGCAAGCCUGACGACGCAACGCCGCGUGGAGGACGAAGAUCUUCGGGUCGUAAACUCCUUUCGAUCGGGAAGAACGUCUGCGGAAUGAAUACUUCCGCAGAGUGACGGUACCGAGAGAAGAAGCCCCGGCUAACUCUGUGCCAGCAGCCGCGGUAAUACAGGGGGGGCAAGCGUUGUUCGGAAUUACUGGGCGUAAAGGGCUCGUAGGCGGCCAACUAAGUCACACGUGAAAUCCCCAGGCUUAACCUGGGAACUGCGUGUGAUACUGGAUGGCUUGAAUCCGGGAGAGGGAUGCGGAAUUCCAGGUGUAGCGGUGAAAUGCGUAGAUAUCUGGAGGAAC
Molecule: ribosomal RNA, 625 nt
Filed under: uncultured bacterium
Lineage: Bacteria
Description: bacterial SSU rRNA
Rfam family: Bacterial small subunit ribosomal RNA
Source: RNAcentral